RNAcentral lists this long non-coding RNA (293 nucleotides) under Vitis vinifera (wine grape). Its description in RNAcentral is "long non-coding RNA (VVIN_LNC003808)". The record is from RNAcentral. Lineage: Eukaryota; Viridiplantae; Streptophyta; Magnoliopsida; Vitales; Vitaceae.
UGACUUGAGAUUAGGACACUAGCCAUUGAGACAACUCUUAUUUUCAUCUUUCAUUAAUUCCUCUGCCUGCCCUGUAAUCCCAUCUACCCGAGUCAGCCAGUCUUGAACAAUAGGUCUGAUUUCAUCCCCACUUCUAAUAGCUGCAUCAAUAGUUAUCUGAAGGUCACCCCUCACACGCCCCAAUUCCUGAAUCUUCUUGUCGAGUUCAUCCAUGUGGCUGCGGUAGCAAAACAGAUAACUAAGCUGGUGUCCAAUUGGAGCAACCAAGUACUCUGAAACUUUUGCAGCAACGG